RNAcentral lists this ribosomal RNA (550 nucleotides) under uncultured bacterium. RNAcentral's name for it is "bacterial SSU rRNA". It matches the Rfam family "Bacterial small subunit ribosomal RNA", at positions 355 to 896 of the family's 1533-position model. The record is from RNAcentral.
UAGGGAAUCUUCGGCAAUGGGGGGAACCCUGACCGAGCAACGCCGCGUGAGUGAAGAAGGUUUUCGGAUCGUAAAGCUCUGUUGUUAAGGAAGAACGAGUGUGAGAAUGGAAAGUUCAUACUGUGACGGUACUUAACCAGAAAGGGACGGCUAACUACGUGCCAGCAGCCGCGGUAAUACGUAGGUCCCGAGCGUUGUCCGGAUUUAUUGGGCGUAAAGCGAGCGCAGGCGGUUAGAAAAGUCUGAAGUGAAAGGCAGUGGCUCAACCAUUGUAGGCUUUGGAAACCGUUUAACUUGAGUGCAGAAGGGGAGAGUGGAAUUCCAUGUGUAGCGGUGAAAUGCGUAGAUAUAUGGAGGAACACCGGUGGCGAAAGCGGCUCUCUGGUCUGUAACUGACGCUGAGGCUCGAAAGCGUGGGGAGCGAACAGGAUUAGAUACCCUGGUAGUCCACGCCGUAAACGAUGAGUGCUAGGUGUUGGGUCCUUUCCGGGGCUCAGUGCCGCAGCUAACGCAUUAAGCACUCCGCCUGGGGAGUACGACCGCAAGGUUG